This is a long non-coding RNA of Vitis riparia (riverbank grape), 300 nucleotides long. RefSeq lists it as uncharacterized. The record is from RefSeq and is a predicted model, not a curated record. The transcript has 3 exons. Lineage: Eukaryota; Viridiplantae; Streptophyta; Magnoliopsida; Vitales; Vitaceae.
GACCUUGUCCUCGGAUUACUGCUUGGGGAGAUGAUGAAGUAUUGGACAUGAAACGAAGAUUGAAAAAAGUUGGUGGAUAUGCAAAUGACAAUGUCAAAAUAUGGGUGAUACAAAAUGAGAUAAGGGAUUGUGUUGAUAGAAAUGUGAUGACAAUGGAGAGGGAGAAUGAUGAGGAGCAUAAAUUUGAAAUCAAUCCAAAUAAAGAUGUUAUUAAACGAGAACACGGUCGGAGCUUAAUGGAGAUGGAUAAAACCUUUGAACAAUUAAAGACACAUCUAAUUGAUUUGUGUCAUGGUGCAA